GUUGAGCUCUAUCCCAAUAGGGCUUCUCUUAUAGCUUCACAUCGUUGGAAACGCCUCAUACAGAAACUCUGUGGUUUUGCUUUACUCACAGGACUAUUUCUUAGGUCUGUGGGGAGAAGCUACAGGACAGCU
Jaculus jaculus (lesser Egyptian jerboa) is the source of this 132-nucleotide small nucleolar RNA. The record is from Ensembl. NCBI's taxonomy places the organism in Eukaryota, Metazoa, Chordata, Mammalia, Rodentia, Dipodidae.